RNAcentral lists this ribosomal RNA (225 nucleotides) under Triticum aestivum (bread wheat). RNAcentral's name for it is "partial small subunit ribosomal RNA". Lineage: Eukaryota; Viridiplantae; Streptophyta; Magnoliopsida; Poales; Poaceae. The record is from RNAcentral.
GCGCAUGUGUUAAGAUGGGUCUGGCGCAUCCUACGCGGCGAGGGAGGAUUAUGGUUACAGCUCAUUCAAGCGAAAUACCUAAGGGGAAACCCGCUCUUAGCAUGCAACCGGACGGAAGGCUCACAAUUCUGGUGAGCCAUCCAAAGGAUCAAGGAGGACAUCCGCCUAGGGAUCUCCUUCUCCUUAGGGAACGGGAAAGGGAUCCAAUUCUGGUUGGAUCCCUAG